Long non-coding RNA from Labeo rohita (rohu), 1268 nucleotides. RefSeq lists it as uncharacterized. Lineage: Eukaryota; Metazoa; Chordata; Actinopteri; Cypriniformes; Cyprinidae. The record is from RefSeq and is a predicted model, not a curated record. The transcript is spliced from 3 exons.
CAGGUCCUGCUGCUUCUGUAUCUGUGUUUUUGCAGUACUGUUAAACAAAGCAUGUCUGCAGGUCACUGUUGAGGGUAAAGUCAGAGGCUCUGCUGUCUUGCCCUGUUCUUCUACUGACAAUGGCCUUAAAAAUAAAGAUGUAACAGUUUAUUGGAGACAUAACAGCAGCCACAAUGUUUAUGACAUUAUUGAGGGUAAAGCAUCGGUGGAGAAGCAGGACACCGCGUACAAGAACAGAGCUGAAACCUUCCCAAAUGAGUAUAUGAAAGGAAACUUCUCGCUCAAACUCAAAAACCUUCAAUAUAAUGAUUCAGGAAAGUAUGUCUGCUACAUCACAAAGACACAUCAAAAUCCAAGCAUGCAACUUUUGGUCAGAGAUGGAGGAAACCAUGGAGCAGCAACAGAGAGGACUGUGCCAUUUUUAAUUUUGCUCCAUAUUCUGCAAUAUAUUUGACCUAGAAUGAUGUGUAUGAGCUGCACAUAUAAUACAGCAAUGUAGAUGUAGUGCAUAACUCAGAAACAGAAAAUGCCCUUCUAUAGCAAUCCAUCAGCUGAUUUUCUAACAUAAAGUUAAAUCAUUGCAGUUGGUCCCAGGUGUGAUGGCAUGUAUGAUCUUCAGUCUACAGGGGAUCUGUAACACCGAAAGAGAGCUGUGAGGUAUCAAUUACAUUCAUCUCAAUGGCAGUUGCUUUGCUGACACAUGAAAAAAUAAGUAUGUGGGCACUGAGUAUAAAUGGUUUUGAAUGCCGUUAUCUGAGCAAUAAAUGUUUGGCUGCUAAUAUCAGGGUUUUCCCUCUCACUUUAAGAGAGAGGGGGAAAAAUGCUGCAAACAUGCUGGAAUAGACAUAUGAAUGUUAACAGAGUUACUUUAUCAAUUUACUGUGAUGAUAUCAAUUGAUUGUGCCUGUUACUCUAUGAGGUUUUUAUUAUUUCAUAUGGAAAGGCAGAGAUCUGUAAUAUAUCAAACAAUUAAAAAAAAUUGUAAUAGUGUGAAAACAGGAAAAAAAUGUAGAGAAUAUUUGAUUACUUCAGCUGCAUUACUGAACACCAUUAUUACACAGUUUAUCACACACUUUACAUUGUUACUGGAUAGAUCACAUUAAAAUAUUAUGCUUUUUAAUGCAUCUGAUGGAGCUGACAUAAGUUAUGAAGUGAAUAAACUUAAAAAAAAAUGUUUCCUGCGACAUGGUUCUUUAGCGGAGACAUUUCUCUAUGAAUAUAUCAGGUUAUAAAAUGUAUCAUUACAUAAUAAAUACUGACAUUUUAAA